GAUGAACGCUGGCGGCGUGCCUAAUACAUGCAAGUCGAGCGAACAGACGAGGAGCUUGCUCCUCUGACGUUAGCGGCGGACGGGUGAGUAACACGUGGAUAACCUACCUAUAAGACUGGGAUAACUUCGGGAAACCGGAGCUAAUACCGGAUAAUAUAUUGAACCGCAUGGUUCAAUAGUGAAAGACGGUUUUGCUGUCACUUAUAGAUGGAUCCGCGCCGCAUUAGCUAGUUGGUAAGGUAACGGCUUACCAAGGCAACGAUGCGAAGCCGACCUGAGAGGGUGGUCGGCCACCCUGGAACUGAGACACGUUCCAGACACCUACGGGAGGCAGCAGUAGGGAAUCUUCCGCGAUGGGCGAGAGCCUGACGGAGCAACGCCGCGUGAGUGAUGAAGGUCUUCGGAUCGUAAAACUCUGUUAUUAGGGAAGAACAAAUGUGUAAGUAACUAGGCACGUCUUGACGGUACCUAAUCAGAAAGCCACGGCUAACUACGUG
This 497-nucleotide ribosomal RNA is filed under the name uncultured bacterium. Its description in RNAcentral is "partial 16S ribosomal RNA". It matches the Rfam family "Bacterial small subunit ribosomal RNA", at positions 28 to 507 of the family's 1533-position model. The record is from RNAcentral.